This 292-nucleotide long non-coding RNA is filed under the name Theobroma cacao (cacao). RNAcentral describes it as "long non-coding RNA (TCAC_LNC003204)". The record is from RNAcentral. Lineage: Eukaryota; Viridiplantae; Streptophyta; Magnoliopsida; Malvales; Malvaceae.
GUAACUAGGACGAGGUGUCAUCAUGGACUUGUAUCCAUCUUUUGGUAGGUGUCUCGGCAUUCAGUAGCUGUACAUUCAUCCGAGUCUCUCCGCUGGACAUCGAGUCUUCUUUUGUUGUGUAUAGACAAACCUAAUGUGAAUUAUUAAGAUACAUGUGUAGACAGUGUAUAUACACAUGUUUGGUAUGCCAGUAUGAAGUGGCAAUGCUUAAUAUUAUUUUGAUUCUAAGUUAUGAUAUAUGACUUAGCAAUUUAUGAUGGAAUGAUGAACAUGUCAGAUUAAUAGGCUUGCU